ACGGAAGGCAGCAGUGGGGAAUAUUGGGCAAUGGGCGAAAGCCUGACCCAGCAACGCCGCGUGAAGGAUGACGGUCUUCGGAUUGUAAACUUCUUUAAUUGGGGAAGAACAAAAUGACCUACCCAAAGAAUAAGUCACGGCUAACUACGUGCCAGCAGCCGCGGUAAUACGUAGGUGACAAGCGUUAUCCGGAUUUACUGUGUGUAAAGGGCGUGUAGGCGGUUUUGCAAGUCAGAAGUGAAAUUCCCGGGCUCAACUUGGGCGCUGCUUCUGAAACUGCAGAACUUGAGUACUGGAGAGGAUAGUGGAAUUCCUAGUGUAGUGGUAAAAUGCGUAGAUAUUAGGAGGAACACCGGUGGCGAAGGCGGCUAUCUGGACAGUAACUGACGCUGAGGCGCGAAAGCGUGGGGAGCAAACAGGAUUAGAUACCCUGGUA
Molecule: ribosomal RNA, 436 nt
Filed under: uncultured Saccharofermentans sp.
Lineage: Bacteria; Bacillati; Bacillota; Clostridia; Eubacteriales; Oscillospiraceae
Description: partial 16S ribosomal RNA
Rfam family: Bacterial small subunit ribosomal RNA
Source: RNAcentral